GGGAGUUUUAAGAGAAACCGCGAAGGUGGCUGGUGCCUGAUGGCGUUGGACUGCUUCUGUUUGUCUAGAGCUCUCUAAUCGUCUCCUCCAAAUAUUCGUUGUCGUAGGGCUUUCGACGUCGCGACUUAGAACUGCAGCACAGGAUGCGGAGUUGGAGUUGCUUUUCGCUGGGCUGUCUCUGUGAACCAACCUGUGUAGGCACUGGUGCGAGCCUUUGCCCGUUAAAAAUGAUUCUCUUGGACUCAUGUCUUCAUGGGGCUUGUCCAAGAAUGUCAGAUCUUGGAUUCUCUAUACCUGGAAAAAAACCGUGGUGUAUGCCUUUUAAACAAUUUACGGAAGGUGGUGCAUGUCUGGCACGCUGAUGUUGGUGUUUGUGUAUAUCUUUUGUAGCUAUGCCUGAGGACGUGCUCUGCACGUAUGUAUGGGUUGAUAAUACGGGAACAAGUAUGCUAAUAUAUUACACCUUUUUGCCUUUUUCAUUUGAACAAUUUA
Corylus avellana is the source of this 492-nucleotide non-coding RNA. Lineage: Eukaryota; Viridiplantae; Streptophyta; Magnoliopsida; Fagales; Betulaceae. The record is from RefSeq and is a predicted model, not a curated record.